Molecule: non-coding RNA, 78 nt
Filed under: Desulfobacter postgatei
Lineage: Bacteria; Pseudomonadati; Thermodesulfobacteriota; Desulfobacteria; Desulfobacterales; Desulfobacteraceae
Also listed under: 1 other name
Description: c-di-GMP sequence
Rfam family: c-di-GMP-I riboswitch aptamer
About the family: GEMM was predicted in a large-scale screen for bacterial structured RNA regulatory elements. Genes associated with GEMM are involved in a diverse array of functions, including chemotaxis regulation, signal transduction, secretion and chitin.
Source: RNAcentral
AAAUAGAAAAGCCAAUUCUGCACAGAUGCAGAAACGGAAAGCCAUAGGGUCUAUGAUUUAGAUAGCCGGGUUGCCUCG